Molecule: small nuclear RNA, 106 nt
Filed under: Myotis davidii
Lineage: Eukaryota; Metazoa; Chordata; Mammalia; Chiroptera; Vespertilionidae
Source: RNAcentral
GUGCUCACUUCGGCAGCAACAUAAACUAAAAUCGAAAUAUUACAGAGGAUCAGCAUGGCUCCUGCCCAAGGGUGACACUCAAAUUCAUGUAGCGUUCCGUAUUUAC